AUAUUUUACAGCAAGAUGGACUGGUCCGGUAUCGGUCGGCGCAGCAGUAAAUGUAGAGGGUACAAUUUUGUACCCUAUUGUUUGCUGGACAUUCAAAGAUGAUUCCAUAAAAACUCAAGAAAGUCGUAGGCCACGUUAAAGCGCCAGUCGUGUAUAGACUGCGCACGUGGCUGGCACCAUGGACCUCGUUGGAACUUGGAACCCAUGGCGUCCUGUUUAGAUAAAUGGAUCAGGUCUUGGAGUAGAUGUAUACUGUACAGUAUGGCUCGUUUCCCCUUUGCAUUCCCCCCAAAGAUGGAUCUACAAGAAGUCACGGAACAAGACUCUCCUGAUGUGGCAUAUGCAAUGAAAAGUGGCUUCCACUAUAACUCCAUUGUACCGAAGUGAAUUGUCCAAUAAAGUCACAACUGUA
This is a long non-coding RNA of Esox lucius (northern pike), 412 nucleotides long. RefSeq lists it as uncharacterized. NCBI's taxonomy places the organism in Eukaryota, Metazoa, Chordata, Actinopteri, Esociformes, Esocidae. The transcript has 4 exons. The record is from RefSeq and is a predicted model, not a curated record.